This 720-nucleotide ribosomal RNA is filed under the name Marivita sp. Th30. RNAcentral describes it as "bacterial SSU rRNA". It matches the Rfam family "Bacterial small subunit ribosomal RNA", at positions 62 to 829 of the family's 1533-position model. The record is from RNAcentral. Lineage: Bacteria; Pseudomonadati; Pseudomonadota; Alphaproteobacteria; Rhodobacterales; Roseobacteraceae.
UCGAGCGCACCCUUCGGGGCGAGCGGCGGACGGGUUAGUAACGCGUGGGAACGUACCCUUUUCUACGGAAUAGCCUCGGGAAACUGAGAGUAAUACCGUAUACGCCCUUCGGGGGAAAGAUUUAUCGGAGAAGGAUCGGCCCGCGUUAGAUUAGGUAGUUGGUGGGGUAAUGGCCUACCAAGCCUACGAUCUAUAGCUGGUUUUAGAGGAUGAUCAGCAACACUGGGACUGAGACACGGCCCAGACUCCUACGGGAGGCAGCAGUGGGGAAUCUUGGACAAUGGGCGCAAGCCUGAUCCAGCCAUGCCGCGUGAGUGAUGAAGGCCUUAGGGUCGUAAAGCUCUUUCGCCAGGGAUGAUAAUGACAGUACCUGGUAAAGAAACCCCGGCUAACUCCGUGCCAGCAGCCGCGGUAAUACGGAGGGGGUUAGCGUUGUUCGGAAUUACUGGGCGUAAAGCGCGCGUAGGCGGACUAUUAAGUUAGAGGUGAAAUCCCAGGGCUCAACCCUGGAACUGCCUUUAAUACUGGUAGUCUUGAGUUCGAGAGAGGUGAGUGGAAUUCCGAGUGUAGAGGUGAAAUUCGUAGAUAUUCGGAGGAACACCAGUGGCGAAGGCGGCUCACUGGCUCGAUACUGACGCUGAGGUGCGAAAGUGUGGGAGCAAACAGGAUUAGAUACCCUGGUAGUCCACACCGUAAACGAUGAAUGCCAGUCGUCGGGUA